Oncorhynchus kisutch (coho salmon) is the source of this 1518-nucleotide long non-coding RNA. RefSeq lists it as uncharacterized. Lineage: Eukaryota; Metazoa; Chordata; Actinopteri; Salmoniformes; Salmonidae. The transcript has 3 exons. The record is from RefSeq and is a predicted model, not a curated record.
GGUGUAUAAAGCCAUCCUCACACCCACACCGAAGUACUGUAGCUGGUUGUUGCCUUAGCGUCUCACUUUAUUUCACAUUGAAUUAACUAAUUGUAGGCUACUUUAAAAACAUGAAAGCCAUCAGUCCUAUGAGAUCUGUCAGAAGCUGCUACGAAGCUGUCCGCUGCAUUUCGGAUCAGAGUCUCUCCAUCACCCGGAAUAAGCCAUCUAUGGAGGAAUCCGUGGGCGCGCUGUGCGAUAUGAAUGACUGCUACUCCAAACUGAAGGAGCUGGUACCGAGCAUCCCACAGAACAAGUCCGUCAGUCAAGUGGAAAUUCUGCAACACGUUAUCGACUACAUAUUCGACCUACAAAUCGCGUUGGAAGACGAGUCUUCAGCGACAACCACGCCUGAUUUGGUCCUGUCACUAAAGAAUGCAGACCUUGCACGCAAUUUCUCCCAAGAAGAUGGACGGUUGUGCCGUUAAAGAGGAGGAAUAGGCCUAUAACGUCCAUAAAUGGUGCAGAGAAACACAGCUCCACUUCCCUCUGGGCAAGAGGACAAGAGGGCCAGAAAGAAGGUCUGGGACAGGUAUUUAGAGUGGGAGAGAAGAGGACUCUUUAGUUCUCAGAUCUGGGCAAGAGGACAAGAGGGCCAGAAAGAAGGUCUGGAAUAGGUAUUUAGAGUGGGAGAGAAGAGGACUCUUUAGUUCUCAGAUCUGGGUAAGAGGGCUAGAAAGAAGGUCUGGGACGGGUAUUUAGAGUGGGAGAGAAGAGGACUCUUUAGUUCUCAGAUGGAUGGAUCAUCCUCUUGUUUUCUGUCCUCUUGUCACCAGAAGUGACAUAAACAACACACCAAAGCAGAAAAAGAUUUGAAUUGACUCUGUUUCUCUCUCUGUUUCUGUCUCUGUCCCUCUCCCUGUCUCUCUCUCUGUCUCUGUCCCUCUCCCUGUCUCUCUCUCUCUACUUGUUCCUCUCAGUUGUGGUUUUGUAUCCCUCGAAAUGUAUCGAUACAUCAAGCUUUGUUGAUUUAUCUUUUUGUGUUACAUUCCAAACCAAACCUUUUGGAUUGACCUUCCAAUAUUUUGUUAUAACCCAACCCCCCCUCCCAAUCCUUCCUCCCUUCCCUCCUCUCCUAGGCCCCCCCCUCCACACACACACACACACACACACAAUCCUUCCUCCCUUCCCUCCUCUCCUAGCCAGUCCUAAAACUCUAUCACUUAAUUCUCUCUUCAUAUCCUCUGUUAUUUUAUAAUUUGAAGGUUUUCAGAACUUGGUCAAAUUGUGUAAAGAUCUAAUUUGGUCACUGUGAACUCUGAAGGAGAUGGGUUAAAUGAGUUUGGUCUUGUGCGGGGGUCCUUGGAUAUAAUCACAACUCUGUAAUAGAGUUGAUUGUAAAUGUUUGUAGGGAUUGUUUAUUUCUACGGACAAUGUCAAAUAAUUGCUGAGUUUUAUAAACUUUUUUCUUUUUUAAAAUCAAAGUCUGGGUUGUAUGUACGUUCCUAUGUAAUAAAAUGAUGAAAUGUUGUGAACGUU